Molecule: long non-coding RNA, 1918 nt
Filed under: Homo sapiens (human)
Lineage: Eukaryota; Metazoa; Chordata; Mammalia; Primates; Hominidae
Description: OIP5 antisense RNA 1
Source: RNAcentral
AGGGUUGGCCACCUUGAGAAGCUGCGAAGAUGGCGGAGUAAGGCGUGCCGCUGCAAACUGGCCUCUGGGCCGGGGGCGAGCAGCCCCCGGGAGGCCGAGUGCAUCUGUUGGACCGUGCGAGGAGAAGAAAAAAAAUAUCGGCCAGAGGAGAGGAACUAACCGAACAUUCUUCCUCCCUACCUUAUAGAGGGGAGUGGUCAUCUACACUAAAGCAAAGUGUUAGGCGCGUCCGUGCGAAGAGACCACCAAACAGGCUUUGUGUUCCUUAUCACAGGAAGAAAAUUUUCCUUGACCUUUAGGUGCUUUUAUAUUCAUCUCAAAAACAAAAUUCUGAACUCAGGACUUGGCAAGUGUCUCUAUGUUGUCUCCUAGAGUGGGUAGUCCUGCUUCUUUUACCCAGUUACUUUCCCGUUUUUGAAAUGUGGCUAUCACUUCUCUACACAUUACCUCCAUGAUUUGGAAUGGAAAAGGCCACUUUUCUUUUUGUUCUGCCUCUCAAAUUCAACACAGAGGAGCUCCUAGGAUUCCAGUUAUCCUGCUAACAUCUCCAGGAAGAAAGAAGCAACUCACAUGGGUCUUUUGCUGUUUGCUUAAUUAUAAAGACAUCAUUUUGCAAGCAGAAGGCUGAGUUUCAUUUGAAACAGGUCCAUGAAUGCUGUGAUGCUGGGAACUUAGGGAAGAUUCACCAAAAUUUGAGAGUGAUAAAAAUGGCCUAAAAUGGGAAAUGUCUCACUCUGUCGCCCAGGCUGGAGUGAAGCAAUGUGAUCUCAGCUCACUGCAACCUCCACCUCCCGAGUAGCUGGGAUUACAGACAUGCACCACCACCCUCAGCUAAUUUUUGUAUUUUUAGUAGAGACGGGGUUUCGCCAUGUUGGCCAGGCUGGUCUUUAACUCCUGGCCUUACGUGAUCCGCCCCCCCUUAGCCUUCCAAAGUGCUGGGAUUACAGGUGUGAGCCACUGCACCUGGCCUGUAGUAGCUUAAAAUUUUCCUUGAGAAAAUUCCUGACUUUAAAAAUAACCCUUAUAUAAGUACAAGUGAUUGUGACAAAUGACGUAAAAAUGGCAUUCAUGAUGUCUGAAACAAGCCUAAAUAGAAUUCAAGAUUAGACUAAAUGAUUUUCACAAAGCACAUUCAAGGUUUUACAUUCUAUGAUUGAAAAAAAUUUUUUGAAAACUUUUUAUUUCAUUCUUUCCUGUAGGAUUUUGCUACAAAUAACUUUGGGAAUGAAUAAAGUGGAAUGGUAACUUUCCAGUGGUUCAGAAUUGAAUUAGACUUCUUGUGACUGUGAUGUUUGGUUUCCAUUGAAAUAUAUGAAGUGAGAUGUCAUAUCCUGAAUAUAGUUUGUCUUCCCCAAUUACUUGAUAGCAUGUCUGUCAGCCAGUAAAGAUUAAGAACAGAGUUUCUCUAAAUUCCUCCGAUUAUUCCACUAAGGCACAUUAAAAUACUUAAUUUUGGGAAACCAGACAUCACAGAUUUCUCCAUGAAGUCCUAAAUCUUCUUUAAAGUCAGAAUAGGUAUCUUAGUUACUGACAGUAUUCAGGUUUUUUUCUCCCUUGGUGAUAUGUCAUUCCAUCAGUGAAAAAAUAUUUUCUCCCAGGGAUAAGAAAGGUAUUCUGGUAAUACAUUAUCAUCAAUCCUUAAACAGUAACAGUCUUGGCACUUAUCACAAAACCGACCCAUUUCUUAUAACCAGAAAGAUUAUCUUAGACUGUCCUUCACAUUAUACUUUACCUACUGCCUUGUAAGAAUAAGAGUUGCUCACUGUGUUUACUUGCUGUCCUCCAUAUUCUCCAUUGCACCAUUGGUGUAUAACGUUAAGAGUUUCAUUGAAUAUUAUUUUAAGUAUUACAAAAGGCAGCUUGCUUCUUAAUCUAUGCAUCUUUGGGGUUUUUGAAGAAAUUUAAUUCUUUGAUGUAA